RNAcentral lists this transfer RNA (68 nucleotides) under Asterorhombus intermedius (intermediate flounder). Its description in RNAcentral is "tRNA-Asp". The record is from RNAcentral. Lineage: Eukaryota; Metazoa; Chordata; Actinopteri; Pleuronectiformes; Bothidae.
AGGGUACUAGUAAAAGAUUAUACCGCCUUGUCGAGACGGAGUUUCGGGUUAAACCCCCGAGUGUCCUU